AAUAAAGGAAAAAAAUAAUUGAAUCUUCAUGUUAAUCUCACGAAUCCUAGAUAUUGUCAAUAGAAUCUCUGAACCUCAAUCUCACCGCACAGAAACCUCAAUCGAACCCUCAAUCUCUCAGAACUCUGAAUCGAAUCCUUUAACUCACCCACUGAAAUCUCAAUCGAUCCCUCAAUCUCUCAGAAUCCUGAAUCAAACUUCAGUCUCAAACUCUCAAGUUCAAUCACCCUCACCUCACUUAAAUCUCAAUCGAAGAGUAAUUUGUGCAAAUAUAUGUUCAAGACCUGUUCAAAUUUAGGCGAUUCUAGCUUUAAAGUUGAGAAUUUUUUUGGAGGCAUAACAAAUUCAUGAAUAAUGAUGAUAUCAAUGAAGAAUUUGAAGAUUUGGAAGCACAAGAUGAAGAGAUAUAAAUGUGUGUGUGUGUGUAUAUAUAUAUAUUAAAGAUGUUAAUUGUGAUCAAAGAUAAUCUUAAUCUAUUUAUUAAAUAUUAACAAAACAAUAUAUUUUGAUAUAUAUUUAACAAGUAUUUGAUUUUGUUA
This is a long non-coding RNA of Medicago truncatula (barrel medic), 539 nucleotides long. RefSeq lists it as uncharacterized. Lineage: Eukaryota; Viridiplantae; Streptophyta; Magnoliopsida; Fabales; Fabaceae. The transcript is spliced from 3 exons. The record is from RefSeq and is a predicted model, not a curated record.